This 347-nucleotide ribosomal RNA is filed under the name uncultured bacterium. RNAcentral describes it as "partial 16S ribosomal RNA". It matches the Rfam family "Bacterial small subunit ribosomal RNA", at positions 338 to 682 of the family's 1533-position model. The record is from RNAcentral.
CCUACGGGUGGCAGCAGUGAGGAAUAUUGGUCAAUGGGCGCGAGCCUGAACCAGCCAAGUAGCGUGAAGGAUGACUGCCCUACGGGUUGUAAACUUCUUUUAUAAAGGAAUAAAGUGAGGCACGUGUGCCGUUUUGUAUGUACGUUAUGAAUAAGGAGCGGCUAACUCCGGGCCAGCAGCCGCGGUAAUACGGAGGAUCCGAGCGUUAUCCGGAGGUAUUGGGUUUAAAGGGAGCGUAGAUGGGUUGUUAAGUCCGUGGUGACAGUUUGCGGCUCAACCGUAAAAUUGCAAUUGAUACUUGCAGUCUUGCGUACAGUUGAGGUAGGCGGACUUCGUGGUGUCGCGGU